GACGAACGCUGGCGGCGUGCUUAACACAUGCAAGUCGAACGGUAAGGCCCUUCGGGGUACACGAGUGGCGAACGGGUGAGUAACACGUGGGUGAUCUGCCCUGCACUUCGGGAUAAGCCUGGGAAACUGGGCCUAAUACCGGAUAGGACUCCGGACUGCAUGGUCUGGGGUGGAAAGCUUUUGCGGUGUGGGAUGGGCCCGCGGCCUAUCAGCUUGUUGGUGGGGUGAUGGCCUACCAAGGCGACGACGGGUAGCCGGCCUGAGAGGGUGACCGGCCACACUGGGACUGAGAUACGGCCCAGACUCCUACGGGGGGCAGCAGUGGGGAGUAUUGCACAAUGGGCGCAAGCCUGAUGCAGCGACGCCGCGUGAGGGAUGACGGCCUUCGGGUUGUAAACCUCUUUCAGCAUCGACGAAGCGAAAGUGACGGUAGGUGCAGAAGAAGGACCGGCCAACUACGUGCCAGCCGCCGCCGUAA
This 478-nucleotide ribosomal RNA is filed under the name uncultured bacterium. RNAcentral's name for it is "partial 16S ribosomal RNA". It matches the Rfam family "Bacterial small subunit ribosomal RNA", at positions 28 to 523 of the family's 1533-position model. The record is from RNAcentral.